Molecule: transfer RNA, 76 nt
Filed under: Dehalococcoidia bacterium
Lineage: Bacteria; Bacillati; Chloroflexota; Dehalococcoidia
Description: tRNA-Gly
Rfam family: tRNA
About the family: Transfer RNA (tRNA) molecules are approximately 80 nucleotides in length. Their secondary structure includes four short double-helical elements and three loops (D, anti-codon, and T loops).
Source: RNAcentral
GCGGGAGUAACUCAGUUGGUAGAGUUCCUGCCCUCCAAGCAGGGUGUCGCGGGUUCGAGUCCCGUCUCCCGCUCCA